CACGUUCCUUGACCUAUUUGAUACCACAUAUCCUCGGAGGAUUCCACAACUAAGGGGGAGAAUAUAUUUAGGGGGAGAAUAUAUGAAAGGGGGAAGAAAAAGUAAGUUAGCUUUCUUCUAUUGUCUACAACUAAGGGGGAUACGGAGGAGGAGAUUCAUCUUUCAACUAAGGAGGAGGAUUGAUCUUUCAUCUAAGGGGAGAUAGCUACUUAUCACCAAGGGGUACUUGAUCAAGGUAAUGGGAGGAGAAGUAAUAACAACUCAUGUACACCUCACCACUGUGUUGUAUCUUUAUUCAGGUGGUACGUGGUAUGAUUCCUAAGAAACAGUGGCAUUGGUUCACCAC
RNAcentral lists this long non-coding RNA (346 nucleotides) under Daucus carota (carrot). RNAcentral describes it as "long non-coding RNA (DCAR_LNC003716)". Lineage: Eukaryota; Viridiplantae; Streptophyta; Magnoliopsida; Apiales; Apiaceae. The record is from RNAcentral.